Non-coding RNA from Pelobates cultripes (western spadefoot toad), 379 nucleotides. The record is from the annotation of a GenBank genome assembly. Lineage: Eukaryota; Metazoa; Chordata; Amphibia; Anura; Pelobatidae.
GCCAUUGCCAUCCAACCUCCGCAGCCGUUCACAGCCUCUGCGAUAAUGACUCAGGAGACUCUGACCUGUGACUUUAGACUCUUUUUAGCCAGCGUCUGUUACUUCUCUGGGGCAUCGAUAGCUGCCCUUCCUGACUUCCUUCCCGUCCACAGCUGCCCCACCAGGGCUCCUGUUACUCUCAGGAAAGAAUUAAACAUUCAGGACGUAAUGGAGCUUCAGUGGACGACUAUUUAUAGAAAUGAGACUUCAUAGAAAGAAGGGUGUGAUGUUAUGGCAAAGCAGCAGUAGGUAUUAAGAUACCCCACCUGGGCUUUCUCACACGCAGCUCAGGGUAAUUGUCAGCUUUUUAAACAAGGAACUAUUGGAAUCAGGAGUUUUG